GAUGAAGAACGUAGCGAAAUGCGAUAAGUAGUGUGAAUUGCAGAAUUCAGUGAAUCAUCGAAUCUUUGAACGCACAUUGCGCCCUUUGGUAUUCCAAAGGGCAUGCCUGUUCGAGCGUCAUUUGUACCCUCAAGCUUUGCUUGGUGUUGAGCGUCUUGUCUCUAGCUUUGCUGGAGACUCGCCUUAAAGUAAUUGGCAGCCGGCCUACUGGUUUCGGAGCGCAGCACAAGUCGCACUCUCUAUCAGCAAAGGUCUAGCAUCCAUUAAGCCUUUUUUUUCAACUUUUGACCUCGGAUCAGGUAGGGAUACCCGCUGAACUUAAGCAUAUCAAUAAGCCGAGGA
This 342-nucleotide unclassified non-coding RNA is filed under the name soil metagenome. RNAcentral's name for it is "partial contains 5.8S ribosomal RNA, internal transcribed spacer 2, and large subunit ribosomal RNA". The stretch from base 1 to 120 matches the Rfam family "5.8S ribosomal RNA", at positions 35 to 154 of the family's 154-position model. The record is from RNAcentral.